GACGAACGCUGGCGGCGUGCUUAACACAUGCCAGUCGAACGGAAAGGCCCUGCUUUUGUGGGGUGCUCGAGUGGCGAACGGGUGAGUAACACGUGAGUAACCUGCCCUUGACUUUGGGAUAACUUCAGGAAACUGGGGCUAAUACCGGAUAGGAGCUCCUGCUGCAUGGUGGGGGUUGGAAAGUUUCGGCGGUUGGGGAUGGACUCGCGGCUUAUCAGCUUGUUGGUGGGGUAGUGGCUUACCUAGGCUUUGACGGGUAGCCGGCCUGAGAGGGUGACCGGCCACAUUGGGACUGAGUGACGGCCCAGACUCCUACGGGAGGCAGCAGGGGGGAAUAUUGCACAAUGGGCGGAAGCCUGAUGCAGCAACGCCGCGUGCGGGAUGACGGCCUUCGGGUUGUAAACCGCUUUCGCCUGUGACGAAGCGUGAGUGACGGUAAUGGGUAAAGAAGCACCGGCUAACUACGU
RNAcentral lists this ribosomal RNA (467 nucleotides) under uncultured bacterium. RNAcentral's name for it is "partial 16S ribosomal RNA". It matches the Rfam family "Bacterial small subunit ribosomal RNA", at positions 28 to 506 of the family's 1533-position model. The record is from RNAcentral.